UGGCUCAGUUAGUAGAGCAUGACACUUGCAACGCUAGGGUUGUGGGUUUGACUCCCAC
RNAcentral lists this transfer RNA (58 nucleotides) under Salmo salar (Atlantic salmon). It matches the Rfam family "tRNA", at positions 8 to 63 of the family's 71-position model. Rfam says of the family: Transfer RNA (tRNA) molecules are approximately 80 nucleotides in length. Their secondary structure includes four short double-helical elements and three loops (D, anti-codon, and T loops). Further hydrogen bonds mediate the characteristic L-shaped molecular structure. tRNAs have two regions of fundamental functional importance: the anti-codon, which is responsible for specific mRNA codon recognition, and the 3' end, to which the tRNAs corresponding amino acid is attached (by aminoacyl-tRNA synthetases). tRNAs cope with the degeneracy of the genetic code in two manners: having more than one tRNA (with a specific anti-codon) for a particular amino acid; and 'wobble' base-pairing, i.e. permitting non-standard base-pairing at the 3rd anti-codon position. The record is from Rfam by way of RNAcentral. Lineage: Eukaryota; Metazoa; Chordata; Actinopteri; Salmoniformes; Salmonidae.